GGUUAAGCGACUAAGCGUACACGGUGGAUGCCCUGGCAGUCAGAGGCGAUGAAGGACGUGCUAAUCUGCGAUAAGCGUCGGUAAGGUGAUAUGAACCGUUAUAACCGGCGAUUUCCGAAUGGGGAAACCCAGUGUGAUUCGUCACACUAUCAUUAACUGAAUCCAUAGGUUAAUGAGGCGAACCGGGGGAACUGAAACAUCUAAGUACCCCGAGGAAAAGAAAUCAACCGAGAUUCCCCCAGUAGCGGCGAGCGAACGGGGAGCAGCCCAGAGCCUGAAUCAGUGUGUGUGUUAGUGGAAGCGUCUGGAAAGGCGUGCGAUACAGGGUGACAGCCCCGUACACAAAAAUGCACAUAUUGUGAGCUCGAUGAGUAGGGCGGGACACGUGGUAUCCUGUCUGAAUAUGGGGGGACCAUCCUCCAAGGCUAAAUACUCCUGACUGACCGAUAGUGAACCAGUACCGUGAGGGAAAGGCGAAAAGAACCCCGGCGAGGGGAGUGAAAAAGAACCUGAAACCGUGUACGUACAAGCAGUGGGAGCACGCUUAGGCGUGUGACUGCGUACCUUUUGUAUAAUGGGUCAGCGACUUAUAUUCUGUAGCAAGGUUAACCGAAUAGGGGAGCCGAAGGGAAACCGAGUCUUAACUGGGCGUUAAGUUGCAGGGUAUAGACCCGAAACCCGGUGAUCUAGCCAUGGGCAGGUUGAAGGUUGGGUAACACUAACUGGAGGACCGAACCGACUAAUGUUGAAAAAUUAGCGGAUGACUUGUGGCUGGGGGUGAAAGGCCAAUCAAACCGGGAGAUAGCUGGUUCUCCCCGAAAGCUAUUUAGGUAGCGCCUCGUGAAUUCAUCUCCGGGGGUAGAGCACUGUUUCGGCAAGGGGGUCAUCCCGACUUACCAACCCGAUGCAAACUGCGAAUACCGGAGAAUGUUAUCACGGGAGACACACGGCGGGUGCUAACGUCCGUCGUGAAGAGGGAAACAACCCAGACCGCCAGCUAAGGUCCCAAAGUCAUGGUUAAGUGGGAAACGAUGUGGGAAGGCCCAGACAGCCAGGAUGUUGGCUUAGAAGCAGCCAUCAUUUAAAGAAAGCGUAAUAGCUCACUGGUCGAGUCGGCCUGCGCGGAAGAUGUAACGGGGCUAAACCAUGCACCGAAGCUGCGGCAGCGACGCUGAUGCGUUGUUGGGUAGGGGAGCGUUCUGUAAGCCUGCGAAGGUGUGCUGUGAGGCAUGCUGGAGGUAUCAGAAGUGCGAAUGCUGACAUAAGUAACGAUAAAGCGGGUGAAAAGCCCGCUCGCCGGAAGACCAAGGGUUCCUGUCCAACGUUAAUCGGGGCAGGGUGAGUCGACCCCUAAGGCGAGGCCGAAAGGCGUAGUCGAUGGGAAACAGGUUAAUAUUCCUGUACUUGGUGUUACUGCGAAGGGGGGACGGAGAAGGCUAUGUUGGCCGGGCGACGGUUGUCCCGGUUUAAGCGUGUAGGCUGGUUUUCCAGGCAAAUCCGGAAAAUCAAGGCUGAGGCGUGAUGACGAGGCACUACGGUGCUGAAGCAACAAAUGCCCUGCUUCCAGGAAAAGCCUCUAAGCAUCAGGUAACAUCAAAUCGUACCCCAAACCGACACAGGUGGUCAGGUAGAGAAUACCAAGGCGCUUGAGAGAACUCGGGUGAAGGAACUAGGCAAAAUGGUGCCGUAACUUCGGGAGAAGGCACGCUGAUAUGUAGGUGAAGUCCCUCGCGGAUGGAGCUGAAAUCAGUCGAAGAUACCAGCUGGCUGCAACUGUUUAUUAAAAACACAGCACUGUGCAAACACGAAAGUGGACGUAUACGGUGUGACGCCUGCCCGGUGCCGGAAGGUUAAUUGAUGGGGUUAGCGCAAGCGAAGCUCUUGAUCGAAGCCCCGGUAAACGGCGGCCGUAACUAUAACGGUCCUAAGGUAGCGAAAUUCCUUGUCGGGUAAGUUCCGACCUGCACGAAUGGCGUAAUGAUGGCCAGGCUGUCUCCACCCGAGACUCAGUGAAAUUGAACUCGCUGUGAAGAUGCAGUGUACCCGCGGCAAGACGGAAAGACCCCGUGAACCUUUACUAUAGCUUGACACUGAACAUUGAGCCUUGAUGUGUAGGAUAGGUGGGAGGCUUUGAAGUGUGGACGCCAGUCUGCAUGGAGCCGACCUUGAAAUACCACCCUUUAAUGUUUGAUGUUCUAACGUUGACCCGUAAUCCGGGUUGCGGACAGUGUCUGGUGGGUAGUUUGACUGGGGCGGUCUCCUCCUAAAGAGUAACGGAGGAGCACGAAGGUUGGCUAAUCCUGGUCGGACAUCAGGAGGUUAGUGCAAUGGCAUAAGCCAGCUUGACUGCGAGCGUGACGGCGCGAGCAGGUGCGAAAGCAGGUCAUAGUGAUCCGGUGGUUCUGAAUGGAAGGGCCAUCGCUCAACGGAUAAAAGGUACUCCGGGGAUAACAGGCUGAUACCGCCCAAGAGUUCAUAUCGACGGCGGUGUUUGGCACCUCGAUGUCGGCUCAUCACAUCCUGGGGCUGAAGUAGGUCCCAAGGGUAUGGCUGUUCGCCAUUUAAAGUGGUACGCGAGCUGGGUUUAGAACGUCGUGAGACAGUUCGGUCCCUAUCUGCCGUGGGCGCUGGAGAACUGAGGGGGGCUGCUCCUAGUACGAGAGGACCGGAGUGGACGCAUCACUGGUGUUCGGGUUGUCAUGCCAAUGGCACUGCCCGGUAGCUAAAUGCGGAAGAGAUAAGUGCUGAAAGCAUCUAAGCACGAAACUUGCCCCGAGAUGAGUUCUCCCUGACUCCUUGAGAGUCCUGAAGGAACGUUGAAGACGACGACGUUGAUAGGCCGGGUGUGUAAGCGCAGCGAUGCGUUGAGCUAACCGGUACUAAUGAACCGUGAGGCUUAACCUU
This 2904-nucleotide ribosomal RNA is filed under the name Escherichia coli. RNAcentral describes it as "23S ribosomal RNA". It matches the Rfam family "Bacterial large subunit ribosomal RNA". Lineage: Bacteria; Pseudomonadati; Pseudomonadota; Gammaproteobacteria; Enterobacterales; Enterobacteriaceae. The record is from RNAcentral.